Jatropha curcas is the source of this 163-nucleotide non-coding RNA. The record is from RefSeq and is a predicted model, not a curated record. NCBI's taxonomy places the organism in Eukaryota, Viridiplantae, Streptophyta, Magnoliopsida, Malpighiales, Euphorbiaceae.
AGCAAAAGAGGUGAAAAUCAAGGAAUUUUCAAGUAAUUUCUUAAGAAAAGCUUCUGAGAGAAAGGGAGUUGAGGAGAGGGUGGUUGAUAGAGGAAAAAGGCUAGGGGAGCCUUCUAGCUCAGGAAAAGGCAAGGAAAAAGAACUAGGAGAGGAGAGGAUCAUU